GUAGAAUGAAUGAAUGAGGUCAGCAACCAUGGCUGUCAAUGUGGGGAAAUAAAAAAGGAAAAGGAUACAAUUAAGUCCUGGUAAUAUGUAGAAAAUCCCCCUCCCCUGGAAAUACUGGAUAUCUAGAAGGGGAAUUGAGAGUUAUCCCACUCUAGAACUGUCAAUACCUUGUCCUGCAACAUGUAAAAAUGUCACUUGAUUGGGCAGGAUGUAAGGGAGACCCUCCACAUUAUGGUUCAA
Molecule: long non-coding RNA, 240 nt
Filed under: Pan troglodytes (chimpanzee)
Lineage: Eukaryota; Metazoa; Chordata; Mammalia; Primates; Hominidae
Description: long non-coding RNA NONPTRT015903
Source: RNAcentral